RNAcentral lists this ribosomal RNA (457 nucleotides) under uncultured bacterium. Its description in RNAcentral is "bacterial SSU rRNA". It matches the Rfam family "Bacterial small subunit ribosomal RNA", at positions 28 to 472 of the family's 1533-position model. The record is from RNAcentral.
AAUGAACGCUGGCGGCGUGCUUAACACAUGCAAGUCGAGCGAGGCCUGGGGGGCAACUCCCAGAGUCGAGCGGCGGACGGGUGAGUAACACGUGGGUAACCUGCCCGGAAGUGGGGAAUACCUCGGGAAACUCGAGCUAAUACCGCAUGACAUCUCCGGGACGAAAGUCCUGGCGAUCAAAGCGGGGUCGCAAGAUCUCGCGCUACCGGAUGGGCCCGCGCCCGAUUAGCUAGUUGGGAGGUAACGGCUCACCAAGGCUUCGAUCGGUAACCGGCCUGAGAGGGCGAUCGGUCACACCGGAACUGAGACACGGUCCGGACUCCUACGGGAGGCAGCAGUGGGGAAUCUUGCGCAAUGGGCGAAAGCCUGACGCAGCAACGCCGCGUGGAGGAUGAAGGCCCUUGGGUUGUAAACUCCUGUCGGCUGGGAAGAAAUCGUUCGGGGCUCAUACCCUCGG